This 441-nucleotide ribosomal RNA is filed under the name uncultured bacterium. Its description in RNAcentral is "partial 16S ribosomal RNA". It matches the Rfam family "Bacterial small subunit ribosomal RNA", at positions 338 to 795 of the family's 1533-position model. The record is from RNAcentral.
CCUACGGGAGGCAGCAGUAGGGAAUUUUGCGCAAUGGGGGAAACCCUGACGCAGCAACGCCGCGUGAUCGAUGAAGCCCUUCGGGGUGUAAAGAUCUGUCAGUGGGGACGAAACCUGACGGUACCCACAGAGGAAGCACCGGCUACCUCCGUGCCAGCAGCCGCGGUACUACGGGGGGUGCAAGCGUUGUCCGGAAUCAUUGGGCGUAAAGGGUUCGUAGGUGGCACGUUAAGUCUGGUGUUAAAGUCUGAAGCACAACUUACGUAGGGCACUGGAUACUGGCGAGCUUGAGUGCGUUAGAGGUAAAGGGAAUUCGUGGUGUAGCGGUGAAAUGCGUAGAUAUCAGGAGGAACAUCGGUGGCGUAAGCGCUUUACUGGGCCGUAAUUGACACUGAGGAACGAAAGCCGGGGUAGCAAAUGGGAUUAGAUACCCGAGUAGUC